UACAGAGGGUGCAAGCGUUGUUCGGAAUUAUUGGGCGUAAAGGGCGCGUAGGCGGUGCGGUAAGUCUGUAGUGAAAUCUCUGGGCUCAACUCAGAGUCUGCUGCAGAAACUGCCGUGCUUGAGUGUGGGAGAGGUGAGUGGAAUUCCCGGUGUAGCGGUGAAAUGCGUAGAUAUCUGGAGGAACACCUGUGGCGAAGGCGGCUAUCUGGUCCAAUUCUGACGCUGAGGCGGCGAAAGCUAGGGGAGCAAACAGG
Molecule: ribosomal RNA, 254 nt
Filed under: uncultured bacterium
Lineage: Bacteria
Description: partial 16S ribosomal RNA
Rfam family: Bacterial small subunit ribosomal RNA
Source: RNAcentral